GUAGGGAAUAUUGGGCAAUGGAGGCAACUCUGACCCAGCCAUGCCGCGUGCAGGAUGACGGCCCUCUGGGUUGUAAACUGCUUUUAUACGGGAAGAAAAAAUACUACGUGUAGUAUACUGACGGUACCGUAAGAAUAAGGAUCGGCUAACUCCGUGCCAGCAGCCGCGGUAAUACGGAGGAUCCAAGCGUUGCUCGGAUUUAUUGGGUUUAAAGGGUGCGGAGGCGGAUCUUUAAGUCAGUGGUGAAAGCCUUCAGCUUAACUGUAGAAUUGCCAUUGAAACUGAAGAUCUUGAAUGUGGUUAAAGUAGGCGGAAUGUAUCAUGUAGCGGUGAAAUGCUUAGAUAUGAUACAGAACACCGAUAGCGAAGGCAGCUUGCUGAACCAUUAUUGACGCUGAGGCACGAAAGCGUGGGGAGCGAACAGGAUUAGAAACCCCAGUAGUCC
This 445-nucleotide ribosomal RNA is filed under the name uncultured bacterium. RNAcentral describes it as "partial 16S ribosomal RNA". It matches the Rfam family "Bacterial small subunit ribosomal RNA", at positions 354 to 796 of the family's 1533-position model. The record is from RNAcentral.